Long non-coding RNA from Bactrocera dorsalis (oriental fruit fly), 1729 nucleotides. RefSeq lists it as uncharacterized. The record is from RefSeq and is a predicted model, not a curated record. NCBI's taxonomy places the organism in Eukaryota, Metazoa, Arthropoda, Insecta, Diptera, Tephritidae. The transcript is spliced from 2 exons.
UUAAAAAAAUAUAAAAAAUUAGGGAAAAACGAUUAAUUUUGGCAAACAUAAUUUAAUAAAAAAACAAAAAAAUAUUUAUUUUUAAUUUAAUUUUAAUUUUUAUUAAUUAAUUAUAGUUUUUAUAUUUUUUUUUAUUUUUUAUUCAAUUAUGUUCUUCAAAAAUAAGUGCUUUUAUUUUUCCCCUAAUUUUUUAUUUAAUGAUUUUUUUUAAUUUAUUCAAAUUGUAGAAAAUAUAAAAAAAUCGCUGAGUUUAGGGUACGCCCACCGACAGAUGGUUAAAUAAAUAAUUACAAAUACUAAAUGCACAGAAAAAUAUUUUGAACUGAGUUUCAGGGCUUCACUUAGUAUUUAAAAAUUUCGUAUUUUAUAAUAUUAUAAAAUAUUUGCCACCAAACGACGUAAAAAAAAUGUGUUUAAAUAAGUGUUCAAACAACUUUUACGAUCACUCAGAGGAAUAAGAUAUGUGCCGUCUCGAUUCUUUACAUUCGCUCACGAGUUCCAACCACCAGUAAUAUUCAAAAAGCGAUAGCAAAUGCAGAAAUCUGCUGAGAAAACUAUGGCAUAUUGACUUUAAGAUAACAGAAAGUGUCUAAAUUAAUUGCUUUGACACGAUCACUAGGCGUCGAACUUUAUUUCGUUAUGUAUGUAUAAGUUGACUUUAAUCUGUACAUUAAACGAAACUAAACUCAAAGUGUUGCACCCAUACCGGGAGAGUCGUGUUGAAGUAUCUGGAAUGAGCUUUAUAAGGCAAAGAACUGUCAUUUUGGUAGACUUUCUGAUAAAUUUUAUCGGAGUAGAAAUACCCGAUUUAAAUACCCUUCUGAUCUCUGUUAUUUAUCGGUUAAAAACUCUCUAAUAUUAAGGCAAAUAACAUAGAAAAACUAUAAUUUUGGCAAGUGUGAAGAGUCAAAUUUUUUAAAAAUCGAAAUUAAAGUAAUAUUUUAAAAAAUGCCUCAAACGAUUACGUACAGUUUUAUUAAAUGUAAAAUAUUCGUUUCGACUUGUAUUAUUACGAUAAUUUACGAUGGUAAGGACUGCCUAAGUUGUCGUCAACGUCAUCCAGCGGUAGACCCAAGAAACAUGCUGUUUGGACGGGGUCGGACCAACAGGAGAGGAAUGUUAGAUGACGAGAAAAGUCAAAAUGGGAUAUGAACCUUUACUAGUAUCUUUCUGUCCUCAGAAGAGAAUAUGAUCACCAUCGGUGUGAUUUUCUGUUUUUAAAAACUGAAAAGUGUAUAUCCUUUUUGCCACGAAUUUUGUAACAUCUAGAAGAAAGCAACGGAGACCUAGUAAAGUAUAUUAUAGUAUGAUAAAGUAUUAUUGGAGUAGAGCUUGACGAGCUGAGUCAAUUUAAUUAUGUUCGUUCAACCAUCUGUAUAGACGUAACGUAGUCCAUAAGCUUUUGAUAUAUGGAUCUGAAAAUAUUCACAAGUCUUUCUGUCACCAAAAGCUGCUCAUUUGUCGGAACUGACGAUAUUGGACCGCUAUAGCAUAUAGCUGCCAUACAAACUGAACCAUCGGAAUCAAGUGCUCGUAUGAAAAACUGUUUUAUUUGACAAGAUAUCUUGGAGAAAUUUGGGGUGAAUUGUUCUCAAAGGAAGUACCACAAUCUCAGAAGAAUUUGUUCAGAUCGAACUAAUAUAGCAUAUAGCUGCCAUACAAAAUAAACGAUCAAAAUCAAGAUAACGAUCUCUUAUAAGCUUUUAAGCUAUAAGAAAUUUACUUUUUU